RNAcentral lists this RNase P RNA (389 nucleotides) under Paracoccus caeni. RNAcentral describes it as "Paracoccus sp. MJ17 Bacterial RNase P class A". It matches the Rfam family "Bacterial RNase P class A". Rfam says of the family: Ribonuclease P (RNase P) is a ubiquitous endoribonuclease, found in archaea, bacteria and eukarya as well as chloroplasts and mitochondria. Its best characterised activity is the generation of mature 5'-ends of tRNAs by cleaving the 5'-leader elements of precursor-tRNAs. Cellular RNase Ps are ribonucleoproteins. Lineage: Bacteria; Pseudomonadati; Pseudomonadota; Alphaproteobacteria; Rhodobacterales; Paracoccaceae. The record is from Rfam by way of RNAcentral.
GCGGAGGGCCGGAUGACCGCGUGGCAAGGCAGUAAUGCAAUGCCGCGAGGAAAGUCCGGACUCCAUGAGGCGACGGUGCCGGGUAACGCCCGGCGGGGGCAACCCCAGGGAAAGCGCCACAGAGAACAGACCGCCCCGGUCUGCCGGGGUAAGGGUGAAACGGUGGGGUAAGAGCCCACCGGGGGGCUGGCAACAGCGCCCGCAUGGCAAGCCCCACCGGGAGCAAUGCCGAAUAGGGACCGCGCGCGAAGCAAUUCGCAGGGCCGCCUUGCCCCAGCAGGUCCGGGUAGGCAGCUAGAUCCGGUCGGCAACGGCCGGGCCAGAGGAAUGGUCAUCCGCCUUGAAGCAAUUCAGGGUGACAGAAUCCGGCUUACAGGCCCUCCGCGCAG